Myodes glareolus (Bank vole) is the source of this 1172-nucleotide non-coding RNA. Lineage: Eukaryota; Metazoa; Chordata; Mammalia; Rodentia; Cricetidae. The record is from RefSeq and is a predicted model, not a curated record.
UAUCUAUUAUACAAGACCUAAGUUAGUUAGAAUAGAUUAUUUGUUCUUAUUGCAUACAAUUUCGUAAUAGAUUUAGAAAUCUCUUAAACAAAAUGGGGAGCUCUUUCUGCUCCUUCAGCCAAUAGCCUUUAAGAUACCAGCCCAUUUGGGUGUGGUCUCUGCUGCUUUUUAAAACAGCAGUAACUGUGAGCUCUCUCUCUUGGUUUGGACUCCACUUCCAACUAUUAGAUCCCUUUCCUGGUCGUGCAGAGGGUUGUUGUCUAGGACAGUGAUCUCAUCAAGUUGUACAAAUGGAUGUCAAACAUCACAGAAUGAUUCAUUACCUGAGGCAGAAGAUGACAUUUAUCUGAUGUGACUUGUGAGGACCUGAGGACCCAAAGGGGCAAGCACCACUGAAAUGGUAUAGUUGAGAUUGUUAAUACAAUGCUUACCAGAGUCAAGGCUUUCACAGCGACUUCUGCUCCUGUUAAAGUGGUGACAUCACUGACUCUUUUGUCACAGUUACAGGUGUCAGCAUCACACUGCAUUCCCUGCUGACCUUUCUCUAUGUGAAACUUUCCCUUCUGGGGAUUAUUCUGCUUAUCCUAGGAUUUGUUUUCUUCCAGAAGAGAAAUUAUUUCAGAAAAUGAAAAUCUGGAUUUCUGAAGCCCAUUAGGCUGUACAAGAAAACAGCCAUUUGCCAUCUCCUUUCUCUUUGAUAGCCAUCUCAACUGCUCCUGAUGUCUUCAUGGUUGUUAGAAGUCGUAUGACUGACCACCUGCAGUCAUGCAGUAUGAAUCUACAGACAAAAGCUUGGAUCUUACCACCAUACAUGUAUGAAUGGCUGUCUUCUUUCUCCCUUCCCCAAGUAGCAGGUCAAGGAAGAAGAAGGCUUAUCAAAUGGUGGUCAACAGUGCUGACUGGAUAUUCUUCCCCCACAUCCUCCAGGAAUAGCUUCCAUCGACUUCCUGUUCCUAGUGCAUUUUACAUGAUCAUAAAUGUUACACUGUCAGAUACCGUGACAAGCAACACCUUCAAGUCAGCCACUUGCAGGCCUUCUUUCUUGCUUUUUGCUACCAAGUAGCUAGACAGUUGUGUUUUGUAUUAAUCAUUGAAUACAUAUGAUGUGAGAUUCCCUUUUGUAUUCUGUCAAUACGCUUUGUAACCAUUGGUUAAUUAAAAAAAAAAACUGC